GACGAACGCUGGCGGCGUGCUUAACACAUGCAAGUCGAACGGUAAGGCUCCAGCUUGCUGGGGUACACGAGUGGCGAACGGGUGAGUAACACGUGGGUGACCUGCCCUGCACUUCGGGAUAAGCCUGGGAAACUGGGUCUAAUACCGGAUAGGACCGCACCGUGAGGGUGUGGUGGAAAGUUUUUUCGGUGUGGGAUGGGCCCGCGGCCUAUCAGCUUGUUGGUGGGGUAAUGGCCUACCAAGGCGGCGACGGGUAGCCGGCCUGAGAGGGUGGACGGCCACAUUGGGACUGAGACACGGCCCAGACGCCUACGGGAGGCAGCAGUGGGGAAUAUUGCACAAUGGGCGGAAGCCUGAUGCAGCGACGCCGCGUGGGGGAUGACGGCCUUCGGGUUGUAAACUCCUUUCACCAUCGACGAAGGGUUUCUGACGGUAGAUGGAGAAGAAGCACCGGCUAACUACGU
RNAcentral lists this ribosomal RNA (464 nucleotides) under uncultured bacterium. RNAcentral describes it as "partial 16S ribosomal RNA". It matches the Rfam family "Bacterial small subunit ribosomal RNA", at positions 28 to 506 of the family's 1533-position model. The record is from RNAcentral.